Molecule: non-coding RNA, 25 nt
Filed under: Rattus norvegicus (Norway rat)
Lineage: Eukaryota; Metazoa; Chordata; Mammalia; Rodentia; Muridae
Source: RNAcentral
UAAACUAGGAGCCUCCCAGGUAGUU